Molecule: ribosomal RNA, 477 nt
Filed under: Candidatus Scalindua marina (nom. nud.)
Lineage: Bacteria; Pseudomonadati; Planctomycetota; Candidatus Brocadiia; Candidatus Brocadiales; Candidatus Scalinduaceae
Description: bacterial SSU rRNA
Rfam family: Bacterial small subunit ribosomal RNA
Source: RNAcentral
UUCGCAAUGCCCGAAAGGGUGACGAAGCGACGCCGCGUGGGUGAGGAAGGCCCUCGGGUUGUAAAGCCCUGUCAGGAGUUAAGAAAUGUAGAUAUGCUAAUAUCGUAUCUAUUUGACAAAGGCUCCAAAGGAAGUCACGGCUAACUCUGUGCCAGCAGCCGCGGUAAUACAGAGGUGGCAAGCGUUGUUCGGAAUUAUUGGGCGUAAAGAGCACGUAGGUGGGUUUGUAAGUCAGAUGUGAAAGCCUCCUGUUCAACGGGAGAAUUGCAUCUGAAACUGCUGAUCUUGAGUGUAGGAGGGGAGAAUGGAACUUCUGGUGGAGCGGUGAAAUGCGUAGAUAUCAGAAGGAACGCCGGCGGCGAAAGCGAUUCUCUGGCCUAUUACUGACACUCAGUGUGCGAAAGCUAGGGGAGCAAACGGGAUUAGAUACCCCGGUAGUCCUAGCCGUAAACGAUGGGCACUAAGUAGAGGGGUUUU